RNAcentral lists this long non-coding RNA (1169 nucleotides) under Homo sapiens (human). Its description in RNAcentral is "HSALNT0375312". The record is from RNAcentral. Lineage: Eukaryota; Metazoa; Chordata; Mammalia; Primates; Hominidae.
CUGGCGCUGCCGGAGCCGGGCCGGACCGGGGUCCGAGAUCUGCGUCGCGCUGGGCACGCUGGCCACCCGGUCCGGAAUGAGUCGGGGCUCCGGGAGGUGCCCGUGGGCAGAGCGUUAGGGGCGCGGCCGUGCCGGACCCGCCCUGGGGACCCGCUGGAGCUGGAGGAGGAACUAACUGUAAGUGUGUCUCGAACUUGCGCGGGGGCUUCAGCCCGCCCGGGGCUGCGGAGCUGGCCGGUAAAGGCUCUCGGGAGAGGGGCGCGGUGUCUCCACGGUGACUUUCCGUGAAGGAGGAUGGGGUGUCUCCGCAGCUUUGGGGCCCCAGGAAAGAACAGAGCCAGCUUCCGUUCCUCAGCCUUUCUUCUCUAAACACCAAGUUCCACCAUUGACAGAACACUGAGUCCUGCACAGUCACAUGGACACGAGUAAGGAGAGUUCAGAGGCUGCAGUGGAGUUCCACACGAAGCACAGGAGGUGAAACCCCUUUUUCCUGGCUCCUCAGGAGACAUGUGAAGACAACGCGAUUAGAGGUCCUUCAGGCACGGAUAGGAUGGCUUGGCAUCUUCUUCCGAGCAAGCGCAGCUCUCAGGCCGGGCCUGAGCCUGCAGCCUGUGUGCCCUCCAUCAUCAGGGCCCCCUCUCAGGACAGGCUACACCGAGGGUGGGACGGCGGACUUCCAGGGACACUUCCAAGUCGUGCCCAUGCAGAUACCUCAGUAUACACUGCCCACAGUUAAGAAACCACGACCUGAGACAUUGUUUUGAAGAGGUGAAAAUGCCUCCACUCAAGUGGCCCAGGAGCGUGAUCCAGGAAGACGAACACACAGAACCAUCUUCUGCAUGGUUUGAAAAUUCAGUGGAAACUAGGACUCCAAGCUGCUGUCCCCUCUCUGCCGCAUCUGAGGCUGGGAAAACUUCCUAGGAGAAGGCAAGAGAAAGCCACCAGACCAGAGCCGAGGACUAAACUUUAAGGUCGAAGACGGCAGAGGGGCAGGUUCUCCCCUGCACACCCCAAGGCCUCUCCUGCACCCGCGAGGCCUUCCUUGAGCGCCCAGGCCCCCGAAAUGCCUGCCCUCCUUCUGACAAAAGGAGGGGGUAGGAUGUGAAGGGGUAGUGCAACCAACAAUGUUUUUGUAAACACAACAACAGGGAAAUACAUGGAGGAAAUCU